Molecule: ribosomal RNA, 609 nt
Filed under: uncultured bacterium
Lineage: Bacteria
Description: bacterial SSU rRNA
Rfam family: Bacterial small subunit ribosomal RNA
Source: RNAcentral
CCUACGGGAGGCAGCAGGGAUGAAUAUUGGACAAUGGGCGCAAGCCUGAUCCAGCCAUGCCGCGUGCAGGAAGACGGUCCUAUGGAUUGUAAACUGCUUUUAUACAGGAAGAAACACCUCUACGUGUAGAGACUUGACGGUACUGUAUGAAUAAGCAUCGGCUAACUCCGUGCCAGCAGCCGCGGUAAUACGGAGGAUGCAAGCGUUAUCCGGAAUCAUUGGGUUUAAAGGGUCCGUAGGCGGUUUAAUAAGUCAGUGGUGAAAGCCCAUCGCUCAACGAUGGAACGGCCAUUGAUACUGUUAAACUUGAAUUAUUAGGAAGUAACUAGAAUAUGUAGUGUAGCGGUGAAAUGCUUAGAGAUUACAUGGAAUACCAAUUGCGAAGGCAGGUUACUACUAGUAUAUUGACGCUGAUGGACGAAAGCGUGGGGAGCGAACAGGAUUAGAUACCCUGGUAGUCCACGCCGUAAACGAUGGAUACUAGCUGUUCGGAGCAAUCUGAGUGGCUAAGCGAAAGUGAUAAGUAUCCCACCUGGGGAGUACGUUCGCAAGAAUGAAACUUAAAGAGUAGUAGACGUGAGAGAGCGACGAGACACAGGGAGGUUAGNG